GGGUAUUGAGUCCAUGGAGCGAGCUGAGAGCUAGAGUACAGAACCUGCUAAGGCCAUCAAACCUAUCGAUCGGAAGUCAGUCCAUCAGAUUUGCUCUGGGCCGGUGGUACUGAGUCUAAGCACUGCGGUGAAGGAGUUAGUAGAAAACAGUCUGGAUGCUGGUGCCACCAAUAUUGAUCUAAAGCUUAAGGACUAUGGAGUGGAUCUCAUUGAAGUUUCAGACAAUGGAUGUGGGGUAGAAGAAGAAAACUUUGAAGGCUUAAUCUCUUUCAGCUCUGAAACAUCACACAUGUAAGAUUCAAGAGUUUGCCAACCUAACUGAGGUUGAAACUUUCGGCUUUCAGGGGGAAGCUCUGAGCUCACUGUGUGCACUGAGCGAUGUCACCAUUUCUACCUGCCACGCAUCGGCGAAGGUUGGGACUCGACUGGUGUUUGAUCACGAUGGGAAAAUCAUCCAGAAAACCCCCUACCCCCACCCCAGAGGGACCACAGUCAGCGUGAAGCAGUUAUUUUCUACACUACCUGUGCACCAUAAGGAAUUUCAAAGGAAUAUUAAGAAGACGUGCCUGUUUCCCCUUCGCCUUCUGCCGUGAUUGUCAGUUUCCUGAGGCCUCCCCAGCCAUGCUUCCUGUACAGCCUGCAGAACUGACUCCUAGAAGGACCCCACCCCCCUCCCCCAACCCCUGCUCCCAGGAGGACACGUGAUCACUGUAUUCAGCUCCAUCAAGAAUGGUCCAGGUUCUUCUAGAUGAUCUGCACAAAUGGUUCCUCUUCUCCUUCCUGGUGUCUGCCAUUAGCAUUGGAAUAAAGUUCCUGCUGAAAAUC
This is a long non-coding RNA of Homo sapiens (human), 825 nucleotides long. Ensembl annotates it as PMS1 homolog 2, mismatch repair system component pseudogene 4. Its record names the gene PMS2P4. Lineage: Eukaryota; Metazoa; Chordata; Mammalia; Primates; Hominidae. The record is from Ensembl.